Non-coding RNA from Peromyscus maniculatus bairdii (prairie deer mouse), 650 nucleotides. The record is from RefSeq and is a predicted model, not a curated record. Lineage: Eukaryota; Metazoa; Chordata; Mammalia; Rodentia; Cricetidae.
GAGAGAGAGAGAGAGAGAGAGAGAGAGAGAGAGAGAGAGAGAGAGAGAGAGAACGGCCCAAUACUAACAGAGUCCUCUGAUCUCCUCUCUAGAAAGGCCUCUAAGCAAGAGUGAAGCCAAGGCAUCUCUGUUUGAAUAAACGAGGGGCAGCUCCAGUGUAAAGAUACAGUCUGCAAGGCAGAGUGGUCAAGUUCAGAGCUGACAACAUGCGCUGGGGCCUCAGUGGAGGGCAGGAUGAAGCCAGGCGAAAAAAUACAACAGAGAUAAGAGGAAGAGAAAGGAGAGGCAGGAGACGCCAUCCUGUCGUCCAGGGAGCAGCGUGUAAUGGGACGCAGGCGCAGGCUCCCGCUGAACUGAAAACUCGCUGUUCCAGCUAGUCUGGCUGGCUGGUGGGACCUCAAGAUCCUCUGUCUUCACUCCAGAGUGCUGGAGUUACAGGCAUGCACAGCCAUGCCCGGCUUUUUAGGGGGAUACUGGGGAUUCGAACUCAGCCCUUCACGCCCACAGAGUAAGCUGUUCUACCCACUGAGCCACCCUCCUAACUCCUUGUGGAAGAUUUUUAAUAAAAAAAUGCUUUAUGUGAAGUUUGUUUGUCUGUUUUCCUUCCCUUUUUCCUUUUCUUCAGAGGUGUUGGGGAUAAAAGUUGGACA